This 408-nucleotide ribosomal RNA is filed under the name uncultured bacterium. RNAcentral describes it as "bacterial SSU rRNA". It matches the Rfam family "Bacterial small subunit ribosomal RNA", at positions 976 to 1381 of the family's 1533-position model. The record is from RNAcentral.
UGGCCUUGACAUAGUAAGAAUUUUCCAGAGACGGAAAAGUGCUAGUUUACUAGAGCUUAUAUACAGGUGCUGCACGGCUGUCGUCAGCUCGUGUCGUGAGAUGUUGGGUUAAGUCCCGCAACGAGCGCAACCCUCGCUAAUAGUUAAUAACGGUUCGGCCGAUGACUCUAUUAGGACUGCCUACGCAAGUAGGAGGAAGGUGAGGACGACGUCAAGUCAUCAUGGCCCUUACGGCCAGGGCUACACACGUGCUACAAUGGGGUAUACAGAGAGCCGCAAUACCGCGAGGUGGAGCAAAUCUUAAAAAUAUCUCCCAGUUCGGAUAGCAGUCUGCAACUCGACUGCUUGAAGUUGGAAUCGCUAGUAAUCGUGAAUCAGCAAUGUCACGGUGAAUACGUUCCCGGGUCU